RNAcentral lists this small nuclear RNA (136 nucleotides) under Suricata suricatta (meerkat). Its description in RNAcentral is "U2 spliceosomal RNA (ENSSSUG00005002971.1)". It matches the Rfam family "U2 spliceosomal RNA". Rfam says of the family: U2 is a small nuclear RNA (snRNA) component of the spliceosome (involved in pre-mRNA splicing). Complementary binding between U2 snRNA (in an area lying towards the 5' end but 3' to hairpin I) and the branchpoint sequence (BPS) of the intron results the bulging out of an unpaired adenosine, on the BPS, which initiates a nucleophilic attack at the intronic 5' splice site, thus starting the first of two transesterification reactions that mediate splicing. Lineage: Eukaryota; Metazoa; Chordata; Mammalia; Carnivora; Herpestidae. The record is from Rfam by way of RNAcentral.
AUUGCUUCUUGGCCUUUUGGCUAAGAUCAAGUGUAGUAUCAGAUGUGGUACUAAAGAUUUAUCUCUUUGAUGUCUCAAUUCCAAGAUUGAGGAUCCUCUAAACACAGUUCUGCCUCAUUUCCUGGGGUCACCUUUU